This is a long non-coding RNA of Oncorhynchus keta (chum salmon), 639 nucleotides long. RefSeq lists it as uncharacterized. The transcript has 6 exons. The record is from RefSeq and is a predicted model, not a curated record. NCBI's taxonomy places the organism in Eukaryota, Metazoa, Chordata, Actinopteri, Salmoniformes, Salmonidae.
AGGUAGUUAAUCUAUAGGUAGUUACAGUCUAUAGAUAGUUACAGUCUAUAGAUAGUUACAGUCUAUAGGUAGUUACAGUCUAUAGGUAGUUAUAGUCUAUAGGUAGUUAUAGUCUAUAGGUAGUUAGUCUAUAGAUAGUUACAGUCUAUAGGUAGUUAGUCUAUAGAUAGUUACAGUCUAUAGGUAGUUAGUCUAUAGGGAUUUACUGUCUAUAGGUAGUUACAGUCUAUAGAUAGUUAUAGUCUAUAGGUAGUUACAGUCUAUAGGUAGUUACAGUCUAUAGGUAGUUAUAGUCUAUAGGUAGUUACAGUCUAUAGGUAGUUAUAGUCUAUAGGUAGUUAUAGUCUAUAGGUAGUUAUAGUCUAUAGGUAGUUACAGUCUAUAGGUAGUUAGUCUAUAGGUAGUUAUAGUCUAUAGGUAGUUACAGUCUAUAGGUAGUUAGUCUAUAGGUAGUUACAGUCUAUAGGUAGUUACAGUCUAUAGGUAGUUAUAGUCUAUAGGUAGUUACAGUCUAUAGGUAGUUAUAGUCUAUAGGUAGUUAUAGUCUAUAGGUAGUUAUAGUCUAUAGGUAGUUACAGUCUAUAGGUAGUUAUAGUCUAUAGGUAGUUAUAGUCUAUAGGUAGUUAUAGUCUAUAGGUA